Molecule: ribosomal RNA, 2929 nt
Filed under: Klebsiella pneumoniae
Lineage: Bacteria; Pseudomonadati; Pseudomonadota; Gammaproteobacteria; Enterobacterales; Enterobacteriaceae
Description: bacterial LSU rRNA
Rfam family: Bacterial large subunit ribosomal RNA
Source: RNAcentral
GGGUUGUGAGGUUAAGCGACUAAGCGUACACGGUGGAUGCCCUGGCAGUCAGAGGCGAUGAAGGACGUGCUAAUCUGCGAAAAGCGUCGGUAAGGUGAUAUGAACCGUUAUAACCGGCGAUGUCCGAAUGGGGAAACCCAGUGUGAUUCGUCACACUAUCGUUAACUGAAUACAUAGGUUAACGAGGCGAACCGGGGGAACUGAAACAUCUAAGUACCCCGAGGAAAAGAAAUCAACCGAGAUUCCCCCAGUAGCGGCGAGCGAACGGGGAGCAGCCCAGAGUCUGAAUCAGCUUGUGUGUUAGUGGAACGGUCUGGAAAGUCCGACGGUACAGGGUGAUAGUCCCGUACACCAAAAUGCACAGGCUGUGAACUCGAAGAGUAGGGCGGGACACGUGGUAUCCUGUCUGAAUAUGGGGGGACCAUCCUCCAAGGCUAAAUACUCCUGACUGACCGAUAGUGAACCAGUACCGUGAGGGAAAGGCGAAAAGAACCCCGGCGAGGGGAGUGAAAAAGAACCUGAAACCGUGUACGUACAAGCAGUGGGAGCACCUUCGGGUGUGACUGCGUACCUUUUGUAUAAUGGGUCAGCGACUUAUAUUCUGUAGCAAGGUUAACCGUAUAGGGGAGCCGCAGGGAAACCGAGUCUUAACUGGGCGUUAAGUUGCAGGGUAUAGACCCGAAACCCGGUGAUCUAGCCAUGGGCAGGUUGAAGGUUGGGUAACACUAACUGGAGGACCGAACCGACUAAUGUUGAAAAAUUAGCGGAUGACUUGUGGCUGGGGGUGAAAGGCCAAUCAAACCGGGAGAUAGCUGGUUCUCCCCGAAAGCUAUUUAGGUAGCGCCUCGUGAACUCAUCUUCGGGGUAGAGCACUGUUUCGGCUAGGGGGUCAUCCCGACUUACCAACCCGAUGCAAACUACGAAUACCGAAGAAUGUUAUCACGGGAGACACACGGCGGGUGCUAACGUCCGUCGUGAAGAGGGAAACAACCCAGACCGCCAGCUAAGGUCCCAAAGUCAUGGUUAAGUGGGAAACGAUGUGGGAAGGCACAGACAGCCAGGAUGUUGGCUUAGAAGCAGCCAUCAUUUAAAGAAAGCGUAAUAGCUCACUGGUCGAGUCGGCCUGCGCGGAAGAUGUAACGGGGCUAAACCAUGCACCGAAGCUGCGGCAGCGACACUAUGUGUUGUUGGGUAGGGGAGCGUUCUGUAAGCCUGCGAAGGUGUGCUGUGAGGCAUGCUGGAGGUAUCAGAAGUGCGAAUGCUGACAUAAGUAACGAUAAAGCGGGUGAAAAGCCCGCUCGCCGGAAGACCAAGGGUUCCUGUCCAACGUUAAUCGGGGCAGGGUGAGUCGACCCCUAAGGCGAGGCCGAAAGGCGUAGUCGAUGGGAAACAGGUUAAUAUUCCUGUACUUGGUGUUACUGCGAAGGGGGGACGGAGAAGGCUAUGUUAGCCGGGCGACGGUUGUCCCGGUUUAAGCAUGUAGGCUGGUUAUCCAGGCAAAUCCGGAUAACCAAGGCUGAGGUGUGAUGACGAGGCACUACGGUGCUGAAGUAACAAAUGCCCUGCUUCCAGGAAAAGCCUCUAAGCAUCAGGUAACAUCAAAUCGUACCCCAAACCGACACAGGUGGUCAGGUAGAGAAUACCAAGGCGCUUGAGAGAACUCGGGUGAAGGAACUAGGCAAAAUGGUGCCGUAACUUCGGGAGAAGGCACGCUGGUGUGUAGGUGAAGUCCCUGCGGAUGGAGCUGAGACCAGUCGAAGAUACCAGCUGGCUGCAACUGUUUAUUAAAAACACAGCACUGUGCAAACACGAAAGUGGACGUAUACGGUGUGACGCCUGCCCGGUGCCGGAAGGUUAAUUGAUGGGGUUAUCCGUAAGGAGAAGCUCUUGAUCGAAGCCCCGGUAAACGGCGGCCGUAACUAUAACGGUCCUAAGGUAGCGAAAUUCCUUGUCGGGUAAGUUCCGACCUGCACGAAUGGCGUAAUGAUGGCCAGGCUGUCUCCACCCGAGACUCAGUGAAAUUGAACUCGCUGUGAAGAUGCAGUGUACCCGCGGCAAGACGGAAAGACCCCGUGAACCUUUACUAUAGCUUGACACUGAACAUUGAGCCUUGAUGUGUAGGAUAGGUGGGAGGCUUUGAAGCGUGGACGCCAGUCUGCGUGGAGCCAACCUUGAAAUACCACCCUUUAAUGUUUGAUGUUCUAACGUUGGCCCCUGACCGGGGUUGCGGACAGUGUCUGGUGGGUAGUUUGACUGGGCGGUCUCCUCCCAAAGCGUAACGGAGGAGCACGAAGGUUAGCUAAUCCUGGUCGGACAUCAGGAGGUUAGUGCAAUGGCAUAAGCUAGCUUGACUGCGAGCGUGACGGCGCGAGCAGCGUGCGAAAGCAGGUCAUAGUGAUCCGGUGGUUCUGAAUGGAAGGGCCAUCGCUCAACGGAUAAAAGGUACUCCGGGGAUAACAGGCUGAUACCGCCCAAGAGUUCAUAUCGACGGCGGUGUUUGGCACCUCGAUGUCGGCUCAUCACAUCCUGGGGCUGAAGUAGGUCCCAAGGGUAUGGCUGUUCGCCAUUUAAAGUGGUACGCGAGCUGGGUUUAGAACGUCGUGAGACAGUUCGGUCCCUAUCUGCCGUGGGCGCUGGAGAAUUGAGGGGGGCUGCUCCUAGUACGAGAGGACCGGAGUGGACGCAUCACUGGUGUUCGGGUUGUCAUGCCAAUGGCACUGCCCGGUAGCUAAAUGCGGAAGAGAUAAGUGCUGAAAGCAUCUAAGCACGAAACUUGCCCCGAGAUGAGUUCUCCCUGAGACUUUAAGUCUCCUGAAGGAACGUUAAAGACGAUGACGUGAUAGGCCGGGUGUGUAAGCGCAGCGAUGCGUUGAGCUAACCGGUACUAAUGAACCGUGAGGCUUAACCUUACAACGCCGAAGAUGUUUGG